RNAcentral lists this ribosomal RNA (2280 nucleotides) under Triticum aestivum (bread wheat). RNAcentral describes it as "partial small subunit ribosomal RNA". Lineage: Eukaryota; Viridiplantae; Streptophyta; Magnoliopsida; Poales; Poaceae. The record is from RNAcentral.
AUGAAAAUCAUAGAGAUAAUCGGAGAAGCAGCAAGAGGAAAAAAGGAUGUCGUAAAUGAAGUGGACAAAAAUCUUGACUCAUUUUUUAAGGCCACCACAUUUGGAGAAGGAAGAAACCUUACAAGAAACUACAUUAUAAAGAUACUUGGUUUGUCAGAGUGCACAGAUACUCUAGUGGGGGAUGAAAUGAGGAGAGGCAUAUCUGGAGGCCAAAAGAAAAGAUUGACAAUCGGAGAAAUGCUAGUUGGUCUAGCGAAAUGCUUCUUUAUGGAUGAUAUUUCAACUGGUCUUGAUAGCUCCACGACGUAUGAGAUCAUAAAAGUUAUACAACAAAUGGCUCAUUUACUAGAUCUCACAGUGGUUAUUUCCUUGCUUCAACCUCCUCCUGAGACAUUGGAAUUAUUUGAUGACAUAGUUCUUUUAUGUGAGGGCCAAAUUGUAUACCUAGGUCCUCGAGAAAAUGCUACCGAUUUCUUUGAGAUUAUGGGAUUCAAAUGCCCUUACAGGAAGAAUAUAGCUGAUUUCCUUCAAGAGGUGACCUCUAAGAUGGACCAAAAGCAAUAUUGGAUUGGUGACCAACAUAGGUAUCACUACCAUUCAAUUGAAAAUUUUGCAGAAUCCUUCCGUUCAUCCUAUCUACCUCGACUUGUACAAGACAAACUUUUAGUGCCAAAUAGUAGUAGAGUAAAGAGUGCGGAGGUAAAAACUAGAUUAGGUAUGUCCAGAUGGAAUAUCUUCAAGGCAUGUUUUUCAAGGGAAGUACUACUUCUGAAAAGAAACUCCCCAAUACAUAUAUUCACAACCGUACAAAUAACUAUCCUUGCUUUGGUGAUAUCGACUAUUUUCCUUCGGACAAAUAUGAACCACAAAUCUGUACUUGAUGCCAACAAGUAUGUCGGAGCUCUCUUUAUUGCUGUCAUGCUAGUAAAUUUCAAUGGCAUGAUUGAAAUUGCAAUGACAAUAAAGAGACUUCCCACUUUCUACAAACAAAGAGAGUUAUUAGCAUUGCCAGGAUGGGCACUCCUUACUCCAAAUUUCCUUCUUAGUAUCCCAAUAUCACUUAUGCAGACAGGUCUUUGGACUAGCUUAACCUAUUAUAUGAUUAGCUAUGCACCUUCCUUUAUCAGAUUCAUGAAGCACUUUUUGGUACUUUUUUCCAUGCAUCAAACAUCAAUGGGCAUGUGUCGUUUGUUAGUAGCAAUGGCAAGGACGCUAGUAAUGGCCAACGUGCUAGCAACCACAACACUUAUAGCAAUCUUUAUAUUUGGAGGCAUCGUCAUUUCAAAAGAUGAUCUCAAACAAUGGUUACAAUGGGGAUAUUGGACAUCACCAUUCACCUAUGCGCAAAAUGCAAUCUCCUUAAAUGAGUUCCUUGGUGAACGAUGGGCUACAGAAUUUCAUUAUGAAAAUGCUAAUACGAUUGGUGAAGCUAUCCUCAAGAUCAGGGGUUUUCUCACGGAGUCGCACUGGUAUUGGAUUUGUGUCGGCAUUUUAUUUGGAUUUGCGCUCGUCUUCAAUGUACUCAGUAUAUUUGCCCUGGAGUUCUUGAACUCGCCACAUAAACGUAAUGUUCACACUGAUGCCACGGACACAAUGAUGGAGUGUGAAAACAAAAUAGUUGAAACUCAAGAUGCAUCAAUUCUACAAGGCGUCCUUCCAUUUCAGCCUCUUCCCUUUGCAUUCAAUGCUAUCAAUUAUUCCGUCAAUAUGCCUAAGGAGAUGAUGAAGUAUGGAGUAACAGAGAAAAAACUUCAGCUACUACAAGAUGUUAGUGGUGCUUUCAGACCAGGAGUGCUAACAGCUCCGAUGGGGAUCACUGGUGCUGGAAAGACAACAUUGCUCGAUGUUUUGGCCGGAAGAAAAACCGGGGGGUAUAUCGAAGGUACUAUAACGGUAGCAGGAUACCCAAAGAGGCAAGAGACAUUUUCAAGGAUCUCGGGCUAUUGUGAACAAAGUGACAUUCACUCACCUAACCUCACUGUAUAUGAGUCACUUCAGUUUUCUGCAAGACUUCGCUUGUCUUCAAAAGUUACAUCGCACCAAAGAUAUAUGUUUAUACAUGAAGUCAUGCACCUAGUUGAGUUAACUAGAUUAAAGAAUGCAAUGGUGGGUCUGGUAGGAGCAACUGGCCUAUCAGCUGAGCAGCGAAAAAGGCUAAUGGCCGUGGAGAUGGUAGCUAGUCCUUCCAUCAUAUUUAUGGAUGAGCCGACCACUGGCUUGGAUGCCGGAUCUGCAGCAAUUGUCAUGAGAGCAAUAAGAAAGACAGUGGACACUGGAUGA